UACGUAGGGGGCGAGCGUUGUCCGGAUUCAUUGGGCGUAAAGCGCGCGUAGGCGGCCCCGCAAGUCGGCUGUGAAAUCUCCGGGCUCAACUCGGAGGGGUCGGGCGAGACUGCGCGGCUCGAGGUGGGCAGAGGGCAGUGGAAUUCCGGGUGUAGUGGUGGAAUGCGUAGAGAUCCGGAGGAACACCAGUGGCGAAGGCGGCUGCCUGGGCCUGGCCUGACGCUGAGGCGCGAAAGCUAGGGGAGCAAACAGG
Molecule: ribosomal RNA, 253 nt
Filed under: uncultured bacterium
Lineage: Bacteria
Description: partial 16S ribosomal RNA
Rfam family: Bacterial small subunit ribosomal RNA
Source: RNAcentral